GGGUGCGAUCAUACCAGCGUUAAUGCAUCAGAUCCCAUCGAAAAUCCCUAAUUAAGCACACAUGGGCUAGAGUAGUACUGGGAUGUGUGACCUCCCGAGAGUUUCUAGUGUUGCACCCU
Non-coding RNA from Picea glauca (white spruce), 119 nucleotides. The record is from Rfam. NCBI's taxonomy places the organism in Eukaryota, Viridiplantae, Streptophyta, Pinopsida, Pinales, Pinaceae.